Long non-coding RNA from Chelonia mydas (Green sea turtle), 954 nucleotides. RefSeq lists it as uncharacterized. The record is from RefSeq and is a predicted model, not a curated record. The transcript is spliced from 3 exons. NCBI's taxonomy places the organism in Eukaryota, Metazoa, Chordata, Testudines, Cheloniidae.
AGUCCUUAGAGGUCAAUUUGGAGGAAGGUGACUCAGUAAUGCUCUAUGAUGCAGGACAUAGUACCUCCUCAGCAUUCAGGAAUUUUCAGGAAAUCACUAUAGGAAUGUCAGAUUAUGAAGUAUGACAGAGAUGGCAGAAUCCCAGAAGCUUGUGUACUUUGAUUUUGGUUUUGUUAGGGCUUCUUCUUUGGGAGUCUACUGCCUAGGAUGCAUUCCUUUCAAAGGCCACAGAUGGAAGCAUAGACAAAGCAAAACAAGGUAUAAACUUGAGUGCAUUUCAAAGUGCUCGUGUUCUACCCCCCAGUUUUUCCACUCCUGGUUCUUCAGUACUUGAGCUGCCACCAAAUAUAAUUUCCUGAUGCUUCCUGGUGAGAGUGAUAAGUUCUAUUAACUGCCUCGUCUAAACAUACUCAAUACAUGUCUAUAGCUGUACUGAAUAAACUAUGCCUGUUUUUAUGGGUGCUUGUAAAUAUAACUCACAGAAGCCAUCCCGGCACCUAGCAUGGAAAUGUCUUGUGUCAGCAAAUCCCUCUGCAUAACUUCUUUCAGUAUAACAAAAUCGCAGUGGAUGGAUCCAUUUUUCAUGAUCAAAAGAAACUCCAAUUAAAGAAUUUCUUCAGGUUGCAUGGAUAAUGGAUUACAACAGAGUGUGCCGAAGGCGUAUUAUCUAUUAUGUUAAGACCGGAUUCUCAGGAAUUAACUGUCUUGAUUGUUAAAACACAGUCCUUCUGAGAGUAUUUUAUUACUUCUAUAUUAAAACUUGAGGCAGAAAUAGUCCACAAGAUGCAUGCUCAUCUAGAAGGACCAAUAUUUUAAUAUUCCUUGAGGGGAUGCUGGAACUCAAAUGCUGAAAGGUAUUUAAAACUGAAUACAUUGCAUUUUAUUACUUUAACCAAUAAAAAGUCUUUUCAUUAAGAAUAUGUUUUAAUAACUUAGUGAGGAUUUGAAAGGUUA